AUGCUACCAACCAACCUUGGUUGUCAUGCAAAUUCUGUCUCCCAAGUUUGUGUACUUAUAUGAUUUUUCCUCCUAUAGUUCAAUCGUCUUCCAUCCUGAAAAGAUGACAGGCAAACUACACCUCCUCCUGGUCUUGCUGGGCCUCUGCAGGGUGUAUGGUCAGAGUCUGGAGGCCAUUCCCUCCAGUCCAGUCCUGAAAAACCCUGGAGAACCUGUCAGCCUCUCCUGUAAGGGAUCUGGCUUUACCUUUGGUAGCUACCAUAUGGGCUGGAUAAGACAACCAGCAGGAAAAGCUCUAGAAUGGAUAGGCAUUAUAUGGAAUGAUGCUAGUGGAACUGCAUACGCAAAAAGUGUUGAAGGGCGUAUAGAAGUCACCAGAGAUAAUUCUAACAGCAUGGUGUAUCUGAAGCUGUCUGGUCUGAGAGCAGAGGACUCUGCUGUGUAUUACUGUGCAAGAGAGACACAGUGGUGUGAGUGAGUGGAGGAUCUGUAC
Molecule: non-coding RNA, 493 nt
Organism: Salmo salar (Atlantic salmon)
Lineage: Eukaryota; Metazoa; Chordata; Actinopteri; Salmoniformes; Salmonidae
Source: the annotation of a RefSeq genome assembly